GGGGAUUUAGCUCAGCGGUAGAGUGCUUGUCUAGCAAGCACAAGGCCCUGGGUUCGGUCCCCAGCUCCG
Molecule: transfer RNA, 69 nt
Filed under: Rattus norvegicus (Norway rat)
Lineage: Eukaryota; Metazoa; Chordata; Mammalia; Rodentia; Muridae
Rfam family: tRNA
About the family: Transfer RNA (tRNA) molecules are approximately 80 nucleotides in length. Their secondary structure includes four short double-helical elements and three loops (D, anti-codon, and T loops).
Source: Rfam by way of RNAcentral